RNAcentral lists this long non-coding RNA (241 nucleotides) under Lathyrus oleraceus (garden pea). RNAcentral's name for it is "Pisum sativum (pea) long non-coding RNA (PSAT_LNC026424)". The record is from RNAcentral. Lineage: Eukaryota; Viridiplantae; Streptophyta; Magnoliopsida; Fabales; Fabaceae.
AACCUCAAGUCCAUCUAUGUAUGACUUGAAAUAUAGAAGCAUUGAUCAAUUAAGUCAAAAGCUUCAAGUGUAUCAAAGAUCAACCAAAAAUAUGAAUAAAGAUGAUUUAAAAGGGAACUUAAAGAGAAAAUUCCAAACUGUGAUCAAAAUGAUUAAAAAAUGGUUGCAACAAUUACACAAAGUCUCAAAUAUUAUGAAUAAUUAGAUAUAAGAGGUUGGAUGCAAAAAUGGUUAAAAAAUA